Molecule: ribosomal RNA, 253 nt
Filed under: uncultured bacterium
Lineage: Bacteria
Description: partial 16S ribosomal RNA
Rfam family: Bacterial small subunit ribosomal RNA
Source: RNAcentral
UACAGAGGUCCCGAGCGUUAAUCGGAAUUACUGGGCGUAAAGCGUGCGCAGGCGGUUUUGUAAGUCAGAUGUGAAAUCCCCGGGCUUAACCUGGGAACUGCGUUUGAAACUACAAGGCUAGAGUGUGGCAGAGGGGGGUGGAAUUCCACGUGUAGCAGUGAAAUGCGUAGAGAUGUGGAGGAACACCGAUGGCGAAGGCAGCCCCCUGGGUUAACACUGACGCUCAGGCACGAAAGCGUGGGGAGCAAACAGG